UCAACUUCAAUAUUCUCUACAAUUCCAUCCUCUCUCUAGAUGGUUGUCCUCUAAUGCAAGGUUGAUGGCACAGCUCCAAUACCAUGUAUCCAUUCGCGUCCUAAAAACAAUUUAUAGUUUGCAUUUGAUUUGAUAAGCAUAAACAAACUCGCCUGGAUGUCGACCCUACGGACAAAUCGACUUGGAUCACACCUAGUAUAUUGCUGGUCUUACCCUCAUAGUUGGAUAACACCAUGAUGUGGGGCCUGAGGUCGUCA
RNAcentral lists this long non-coding RNA (257 nucleotides) under Lathyrus oleraceus (garden pea). Its description in RNAcentral is "Pisum sativum (pea) long non-coding RNA (PSAT_LNC022685)". The record is from RNAcentral. Lineage: Eukaryota; Viridiplantae; Streptophyta; Magnoliopsida; Fabales; Fabaceae.